Molecule: non-coding RNA, 290 nt
Organism: Parasteatoda tepidariorum (common house spider)
Lineage: Eukaryota; Metazoa; Arthropoda; Arachnida; Araneae; Theridiidae
Source: RefSeq, a predicted model, not a curated record
GACAAGGAUGGAGAUGGAAUUCUUAUUUUUGAAGAAUAUAAGAAUGCAGCCCUUGAAGAUUGGCUGUUGAUGGAAUCUUUUGGUCAAUGCUUGCCUGAUUUUAAGUAUCAUGUGAAGUUUCUUGAACAGAUGGAGGGAAAAGUCAAUGACAAAUGAUUGAAAGCCUGCUUUACUUGAAUAUUGUGUGUCUAAUUUGAAGAAAACUAGUUAGAUCAAUAAGAUUUUUUAUCAAUAAAAAAAUGCUUGAAUAAACUUUCACAGAAUGGUUUGAUUUGUGUGGAUAAACAUAA